ACCGGGUGCCGUGUAGGGCGGCUGUGAGCCAGUGUCUAGGCGGUGGAUCGGUGUGGAUGGAGUGAGGGGAGGAGUCCCGCAGUGGCCGUGGAGUGCGGCGACCGGGCGUCGGUGUCAAGCGCUGCGUCGCCAGGGUUGUGCCAUCGGGGGAUGGCAUGUCCCGAGCGGUCAAGAAGUGGUGUACGGCUCAGGACCGAAAGGGAGCAAGCAAAAAUCACGGCGCGAUACAGUGACUGGACAACGCCCAUGAGCACCCGCUCUGUCGUGGCCUCUCCGAUACCUUCAGACCUCCAAUCGU
Molecule: non-coding RNA, 298 nt
Organism: Dictyocaulus viviparus (bovine lungworm)
Lineage: Eukaryota; Metazoa; Nematoda; Chromadorea; Rhabditida; Metastrongylidae
Source: Rfam